Molecule: long non-coding RNA, 325 nt
Organism: Oncorhynchus tshawytscha (Chinook salmon)
Lineage: Eukaryota; Metazoa; Chordata; Actinopteri; Salmoniformes; Salmonidae
Source: Ensembl
UCCCUACUCCUCCACUGGCUGAAGGUAUGCCGGCCGGACUACAACUACCAUAAUGACACUCCCUACUCCUCCACUGGCUGAAGGCCUGCCGGACUACAACUACCAUAAUGACACUCCCUACUCCUCCACUGGCUGAAGGUCUGCCGGACUACAACUACCAUAAUGACACUCCCUACUGCUCCACUGGCUGAAGGUCUGCCGGACUACAACUACCAUAAUGACACUCCCUACUCCUCCACUGGCUGAAGGUCUGCCCGGACUACAACUACCAUAAUGACACUCCCUACUCCUCCACUGGCUGAAGGUCUGCCGGACUACAACUACC